UAAACAAUCCAGUCAUGUAGCUGGAAACAGCUAUAUGCCGGUCCCAAGCCCGGAUAAAUGGAGAGGGGUGA
This 71-nucleotide non-coding RNA is filed under the name unclassified sequences. The record is from RNAcentral.